This is a non-coding RNA of Aegilops tauschii subsp. strangulata, 3013 nucleotides long. NCBI's taxonomy places the organism in Eukaryota, Viridiplantae, Streptophyta, Magnoliopsida, Poales, Poaceae. The record is from RefSeq and is a predicted model, not a curated record.
GGUGCCAAACCACACAUGCUAAAGCACGUGCCUCAAAAUUACUCCUCCUACUUUCAAAGCGGAACAAGCAUGUCCCAAAAUCAGCUUUUCGGGCUAUGAUCUCCUUCACUAUGGCUUCAUUUCUUCCUCCCGUACCUUCUGAAAUGUCCUUCACUAUGGUGCACGGGCUCUUUGCUUUAGGACUUCGGGCACUCGAUGAAUUGCCUCGAGAGAUGGCCCGCGCACCUGGACAGUUGGGCUUGUAGAUUUCCGAAUCCAAGCCCAUCCCCAGCUGAACCGAAGCACAAAAGCCCACUUUGCCGUUCUCUCUUCCCAGGCUUCGGAUUUCCCCCCGCCGUCGCCGUCGCGGCGGCAAACCCCAAAAAAUGGCGCCUCCUCCCCUAGACGACCUCACGCACCUGCUCGCCGAGGUGGCUUCCUGCCUCUCCCGCCCUCCCGGCGGCGCGGGCCCCUCCUCCGUGGCCGGCGACUCACUCUCCGCCUCCGUCUCCUCCCUCGCGGCUGCCCUCAACCCCCGCGCCGCCGCCCCUGCCUCCUCCGGAACCAGGGUCCUCGACGCCGCGCUCUCCCUCAUGUGCUUCGACCCACAGGAGGUGGAUAGGGCUCGCCUGGACUGCCUCGUCCGCACCGCAGUCUCCGCGCUCUCCGAUCCGACCUCGUGCCGAGUGGCCCGGACCGACGACCGCGCCGAGAUGCUCUGCGUCGGGAGCUCCGUCUCGCCCCGGGACUGCCGCGAGCUGGUCCGCUCUUGCGCCGCCCUCGUCGAGAAAUUGUGGGGCCGUGAUGCUGCGGGGCAUUCCUAUGACCUGUUGCAUGCUGCUGUGAAAACAGCCCUGUUAUCCCCUCGUUACCAGUGUCUCUUUCCUUCGCCAUAUUACAGAGAAGAUGGAGAAAGCAGUUGCGAGAUGGGUACCAUUUCUCUGGAUGUAACAACCCAUCCAUCUUAUCAAGUGCUUCCCAAUGAUGGCUCAAUCCCGCCGAGGGCCCUUUUGUGGCAUUACGACCCAUCAAUUCUGAAACAUGAUCUUUCAGAGAUGCUACGAGAAGCAAUCACAAGGCCUUUGCUUUGUAUGAGAAAAGAAUUACAUGAUCGGGUAGCAUGGCGUGUGAUUGUAAUAUGCUUAGUUUGCUCCCCACCAGCGUUCUUGGAGAUGCGAUCAUUAUUCCAUAUAUGGUUUCUUGCGACGGGUAUGGGUUCUGUGCUAGGACUUUGCACAGCAGUGGUAUCAUCAGUAUUAGAUAUUCUUCUCGAGCCUAUGGGAUGGGGAAUAUCCAUGGAACUGGGACAGAAAUUUCCCUUUACACAUGCUUAUUUCCCAAGCCAACAAAGGGACUUACUUGCCAUACUAACUGGAACCAUAUCAUGCAGACGAUUUUUGGAUCUUGUUUCUUGCAUAGAAGCUAUGGUUUUCUUGGGUAAAGCAAGCAGUGACAACUCUUCAUUGAAAAUACAAUCACAAACAUCAAAAGGGUCACACUUUCGCAUGAAACAACCAUCAAAGGGAUUGGUCAAAUUCAAAUACAGUUCUGCCUGGUUGACAAUUACGAACUUCCCUAACUGGUUCAUUUUUGCCAGUGCUCUACUAUUUCACCAGGAAGGUUCACAAGGUUAUUUAUCAGAAGUAUUAUCUGAGGAGAAAACUGCUGAAUCAAUAAGCGAUAUCAGUCUUGCUCAGAAGGCAGCAUUUUACCUUUCAUGGGUGUUAUGCCCUUCUAAUGUUGAUGAGUGCCAGAUGCUAGCUAACAAUAUGGUGGAGUUAUCACAUUCUUGGGCCAGGAACAACAAAAAGCGCCCAAGUAAUGCACACCAUAGCAGUACAGUAAAUCACCGGAGGAGACUGCGCGUACCCACAGUUGGGGAUACAGAGAAACUUCAUGCGUCAACCAACCCUGUCAGUUCCUUUAUUAGAGAUUUUGAUGAUCGCUGUGUGAAGUUUUGUCGCAUAACUGCUGUCAGUCAAGUGCAAGGUGCAGAACAAUUAGACGUCCCUCUCUCAUGCCCUAAUUUUCUGCAUUUACGGGUUCCUCUAGGGGUUCUGCUUGUGUCCUCUGCUUGUAUUAGUGAGCAAGACUGUAACGUGCUUCUGCACUACGCAAGCACUGGUCUGGUUCUGGAGUCAAAGGAAGUGCAGACAAAAAGGAAAGAUCAGGCUGGUAAUGAUGUUUUUUCAUCCAGUCGUGGAGGUUUUACUGAAAGAUCGGCUUUCAGUGGUGCAUGCCUCAUCUUUGGCUGGCUUGACAUUAUUGAGGAUAUGUCCGCAGUGAUCUUUGAAUGUGAAGAUACAUGUCGUCAUUUUGUCAGUCAACUCAGAACCAAGACAGGCCCAUACCUGCUGAAGUGUGUAAAUUUAUUUCUGAAUGAGGCGGGUCAUGAUAAAGAUUUUGUAAUCGAUCUUCGUGACAGAUUGUUAGACUGGAUUAAUGAAGGGCAGAGUUUUGAUGGUUGUGAGGCAUUCAAAGACGUUAUCGUUCAAAUGAACGCAAAAAUUCAGCCCUCUUCAUAGCAGUUAUCAGGGAUUUUAUGUAACUGUGAUUGUGUCCGGAUGGGUUCCUGGUCUCCUGGUGACUGUACUGCUGGAUGUGAACUGUGGAGUUAAAACAUAUCCAUUCAGCUCUUGAUUGCAGACCACUGAGAAGAAGGAAAAACUCAAACAAAGUUUAAGGAAACUUCAUAUAUUAUAUCAGACGCAAGAAAUGGAAUCAUAGUUUAAUUUGGUUUGUUAGUGCUAUUUGUGCCAUACAGCAGUUCCAGGUAAUUUAUUUCUGAAUUUAAAUUUCUUGAGUUAAUGUUUCCUCUUAAUUAUAUAGUAUUUCAAAUUUGUUACUCGGUGAUUGGAUAUGGUCAACUAAGACAUUGAUAUGUUUGCACAGCCUAUUUAGUAGACUUGUGACCACGCUGGAGAACUUUUUUAUGUAUGCUUCUCUUGUUACAUAUGUAAAGUAGAAAAAGUUAUGAAUGACAAUACUUACCUCCUGAUUAUAUUAUUAAGGUAUCUGGAUGUGAUGGACAAAA